Molecule: ribosomal RNA, 107 nt
Filed under: Klebsiella pneumoniae
Lineage: Bacteria; Pseudomonadati; Pseudomonadota; Gammaproteobacteria; Enterobacterales; Enterobacteriaceae
Also listed under: 4 other names
Description: partial 23S ribosomal RNA
Rfam family: Bacterial large subunit ribosomal RNA
Source: RNAcentral
GGUUAAGCGACUAAGCGUACACGGUGGAUGCCCUGGCAGUCAGAGGCGAUGAAGGACGUGCUAAUCUGCGAAAAGCGUCGGUAAGGUGAUAUGAACCGUUAUAGCCG